ACAAUCCUACGGGGGGCAGCAGUGGGGAAUGUUGGGCAAUGGGCGCAAGCCUGACCCAGCAACGCCGCGUGAAGGAAGAAGGCUUUCGGGUUGUAAACUUCUUUUCUCAGGGACGAAGCAAGUGACGGUACCUGAGGAAUAAGCCACGGCUAACUACGUGCCAGCAGCCGCGGUAAUACGUAGGUGGCAAGCGUUAUCCGGAUUUACUGGGUGUAAAGGGCGUGUAGGCGGGAAAGCAAGUCAGAUGUGAAAACCACGGGCUCAACCUGUGGCCUGCAUUUGAAACUGUUUUUCUUUAGUACUUG
RNAcentral lists this ribosomal RNA (305 nucleotides) under uncultured bacterium. RNAcentral's name for it is "bacterial SSU rRNA". It matches the Rfam family "Bacterial small subunit ribosomal RNA", at positions 333 to 652 of the family's 1533-position model. The record is from RNAcentral.